UACAGAGGGUGCGAACGUUGCUCGGAAUUACUGGGCGUAAAGCGCGUGUAGGCGGGACUGCAAGUCAGGCGUGAAAGCCCCGGGCUCAACCUGGGAACCGCGCUUGAGACUGGAGAACUAGAGUUCGGGAGAGGAUGGUGGAAUUCCCAGUGUAGAGGUGAAAUUCGUAGAUAUUGGGAAGAACACCGAUGGCGAAGGCAGCCAUCUGGACCGACACUGACGCUGAGGCGCGAAAGCGUGGGGAGCAAACAGG
This 253-nucleotide ribosomal RNA is filed under the name uncultured bacterium. RNAcentral's name for it is "partial 16S ribosomal RNA". It matches the Rfam family "Bacterial small subunit ribosomal RNA", at positions 524 to 776 of the family's 1533-position model. The record is from RNAcentral.